UUAUGUUUCAAAUGCGGAUCUAAACUAGAAGCAAAAUUGUCGGUAUGUAAUCAUGCGAAGACAUUAGACCAUUACAUGUCUAUAAAAGGAGAAUGUAGAGUAGGAUUUAACACGAAGAUCUCGAGCUCGUCAUCGAAAAGGAAAUCAACUAGUCAAUGUCCACCUUCAAAAAAGCCUGUGGAUAAUCUUGUUGUAAUACAGGUAGACAUAAUCACCGUAAACGAUGGUACUCUAACAGUGAAAAGAGGCUCCAAAUUACCUGUAAAAGUUUGCAAAGAUUUUGAUAGGGAGAAAGUACUGGCGCUGACAUAAAAGAACACUCUGAUCAUGAUCAAUUUUUUGUUCUGGUAGCAAAGUCAACUUAAAAAACUACUAAAAAUAAGUAUGAAACUGAAGGAAAUAAGAAACAAGUCGUAGAUCUUUCAGUAGUGUCUUCUGAUGAUGAUGAAUUUUAUGAUUUUCAUUCCUUACCUGAUGAGACAUCCGAUGAACCUACUAUGUCCUUUUAACUAAAUCGAGAUGGCUUGUCAACAUCAAAGUCUGAUUUUUCUUUGACUUCUAAAAGAAACGAAUCUUCCCAAACAGCCUUGCCAUUUGGGCAUUGCCCUACAAAUCCUAGAAAUAAAAAUAUUUAUGUACAGUGUCCCACUUGUCAUGGAAAUUUUGUAGAUAAAGACAUUGUAUUACAUGCAGACAUAUGUGAAGAAAAUGCUAACUGACGGGCAUUUUAUCAAGAAAGAAAAUUUGAACUUUCAGUUGAUAUUGCAGAAGGACACACAAGUGAAGAUGUCACUGAAUAUGUGAGUUUGGAUACUUGUGUGAAGUCAAUUUCAGAUAUUCUUGAACCGUUAGUGAAAAAUCUCAAAGCACAAUCUAGAAUAAAUGUAAGGAGAGGCCAGGUAUUUGCUAAUUACAUUGAGACAAGAAAAUGUUGUAGCUGGAUUAUCGAUGAAAAUAAACUUAAAGUAGUUUUUAUUGGUGAGCCUGCUCAAGGUACUGGAAGACCAAGGAAAGAAUUUUUAACAGAAGUUCUUAAAGAAAUUACACAACGACUGUUCAUAACUGGUGUUCCCAUUAUCUCAACAUCAGCAAUGACAGAGAAUGAAUUUUUGUAUGCUGGAAAUCUUAUGGCUGCCUCCAUUUUGCAAUGUGGUCUGUCACCAUGCAUUUUAAAACCUUGGGUUUAUGACUAUGUGGUUUCAAGUCUGUGUGAACAGCUCAAACUAACUUUUGAUGAUUUACCAGCAUCAGAAAUCAAAACUUUUUCAGAGAAGGUACUUUAAAAUUGAUAGAACUGAUAUUUAUCACAAUAAUUUAUAAUGGGUAACAUGCACUGAUUGUAACAGCUGUAUUGCCACCUGAUAUAAAAGUAUGCUGUACAUCUACAUACAACUCAUAAUGAUUGUAACAGCUGUAUUGUCAUCUGAUAUAAAAGUAUGCUGUGCAUCCACAUACAAGUCAUAAUGAUUGUAACAGCUGUAUUGUCACCUGAUAUAAAAGUAUGCUGUACAUCUACAUACAACUCAUAAUGAUUGUAACAGCUGUAUUGUCACCUGAUAUAAAAGUAUGCUGUGCAUCCACAUACAACUCAUAAUGAUUGUAACAGCUGUAUUGUCACC
Xenia sp. Carnegie-2017 is the source of this 1619-nucleotide long non-coding RNA. RefSeq lists it as uncharacterized. The transcript is spliced from 2 exons. The record is from RefSeq and is a predicted model, not a curated record. NCBI's taxonomy places the organism in Eukaryota, Metazoa, Cnidaria, Anthozoa, Malacalcyonacea, Xeniidae.